Molecule: ribosomal RNA, 393 nt
Filed under: uncultured bacterium
Lineage: Bacteria
Description: bacterial SSU rRNA
Rfam family: Bacterial small subunit ribosomal RNA
Source: RNAcentral
AUUGAACGCUGGCGGCAUGCCUAACACAUGCAAGUCGAACGGUAACAGGGGCUUCGGCCCGCUGACGAGUGGCGGACGGGUGAGUAACGCGUAGGAAUCUUCCCAGUAGCGGGUGAUAGCUCGGCGAAAGCCGGAUUAAUACCGCAUACGCCCUACGGGGAAAGCAGGGGAUCGCAAGACCUUGCACUAUUGGAUGAGCCUACGUCUGAUUAGCUAGUUGGUAGGGUAAAGACCACCAAGGCGACGAUCAGUAGCUGGUCUGAGAGGACGAUCAGCCACACUGGGACUGAGACACGGCCCAGACUCCUACGGGAGGCAGCAGUGGGGAAUAUUGGACAAUGGGCGCAAGCCUGAUCCAGCAAUGCCGCGUGUGUGAAGAAGGCCUGCGGGUUG